Non-coding RNA from Notechis scutatus (mainland tiger snake), 5211 nucleotides. NCBI's taxonomy places the organism in Eukaryota, Metazoa, Chordata, Lepidosauria, Squamata, Elapidae. The record is from RefSeq and is a predicted model, not a curated record.
AGAAGAUGACAAUUCUAUAUGGUGACUGAACUUCAAAUCUGAUGCUCCACAGCAUAAAAUACUGUUCGGGGUCAAACAACCAGGAUUUGGUGCUUUUUUUGUGGAUUCUAAAAACCUUUAAGAUAUUUGUUUAUAUUGACUAUACAUAAAAGGAUCUAUUGGAGCUGAAUAAUACACAGAAAGAAAGCUCCUCUUGGAACCUGUCCAUGCCAGAUAUUUGACACAUUUUCUGUUCACUGUGGAUCAACUGAAUGGGAUUUUAAGCCAGAGCACUGAAGUAGAAGAAGCAAAUCAUAUUGCCAAGGUGACACUUUAAAAGCAUGCUCUGCAUUUGAAAAAAUAUUCUUUUUAGGGUGUUACGUGAAGCCAGAAAAUAAAGUUAAAACUUAAAAGUUAGUCAUGGUUAAGUGGAUUGUGCAAACAAAGGGAUGACACCCAACAGUAAGAAUCAUACAGUAGAAUCAAAGCUAAUUAACUGUUAAAUGUGUAGUGAAACUCUUGAGUGGUAUUCAUGAGAUAUUGUCUUCAGAUGAUGGAAUCAAAGGCGUUUCAUUUUUAGCUUACAUUAUUCUGGGGAUGAGGAGGCAAAUAUAGCAUGUCCAGCACAUUGAUAUGAUAGCUUGAAGUAGAACUUCAUCUGCUUAGUAGUGGGUUUUGUUAUUUUGUACUGCUUCCUUGCCUCAUUUUUGUUUAAUUUGUUUAUUUGUAACAAAGUACAGUAGUGUUUUUCAACCUCGGGAUCUUUAAGAUGAGUAGACUUCCAGAAUUCCCAAGCCAGCAUCACUGGCUGGGGAAUUCUCAGAGCUGUAGUCCACUCAUCUUAAAGUUGCUGAGGUUGGGAACACUACUAUACCAUAAAUUUUGUGGCUAACCAAAGAUCAAUGAGACAAUGUUAUCAGCAAAUUUUAACAAUACUUUAAUCAUAUUGCUACUUUCUUCUAGUCCCAUUGUCACUCAGGUUGUGUAGAUAAUCACUGUAAAUAUCAGAGGUUAGACCAGAGUUUGGGAGCUCUCUUAAUCAUUAGACUAUAAUUCCACCAAUCCAGACUUUUAAUGAUAUUGGCUGGGAUUUACUAGAGUCCAAUAUUUUUUAGAGAGUCACCUAAACUUAUAACUUUAGAGAGAGGUUAAAAUAUAACUCUACUUAUAAUUGCUGUGAAGAAUAUCAGAAGCCAUUUUUCUAUAUCUUUUUUUUCCUUUUCUAUUUUUCUUUUACCCCCCCCCCCUUUUCUUGCAUUCUUAGUUUUCUCUUUGAUUUCUUUUUUCUUUUUUACUUCACAGUAGCCUGUCUUAGUUUUUAAUCUUUCUUUUUAAAAACUUUACAGAUCUCAACUGAGGAAAAUAUUAAGCAAAAAGAUUCUUCAUAGCAGAAAGGGAAAGGAUGAGUUGAUAAGAGAUAAUUUAUAAUUUUAUUUGGAGGUAACAUUUCAAGAUUGAAGGUUCCUUGACCUCAGAUUUUGCAUAUGAUUGACUGCAUAGAAUUUUUUAAAAUAAUUCUGUGUAGAAUCCUUCCUUCCUUCCUCUCUUCUGAUUUUUUUUUCUGUUUGACCUUUAUGUAAGUACAAUAUGUGUGGAACUAUAUAAAUAAAAUUACAAAUUGUUGAGUCAACAGACAGUUUGCAUUUCAUCCAGUUUAAAUACGAUACUCGAAGUAUAUCCCUCUUUACUGUUAUUUUAAAUAAGAGUCAUAGAUAAAUUAUAUGUUUGGCUCAAAGAUAACUGUUCCUCUGUACCUCAUCUAAAGAUAUGUCUGAAAUAUGUUCCUCCAAAAGAUACAUCAUACCUGUACCUAAAGUGAGGUUUUUUUACAUGCAUGUUAAGCCAGGGACACAGUCUGAAAAAAAAUGUUUACUGGUAGUUACUCAUAAGACUCAGCCUAAAAAAAAGUACAUUCAGAGAAAUUUGUUUAGGGCCACAGAGCCCUUUAGAAGUGUUUUUCUGUCUCUCUUUACUGCAAUGUAAUAGUAUUUUUGUAGUUUAUUUAUGGUGGACUUGGAUUUUUAGAUUUUUUUUCUUCAUUAGAAGGCCAGAAUGUGAAAAGCAACACUUUGCAGCAUAUCACAGCAUAGAAAAUAUGAAUUCAUAUAUAUUACUCUAUCUGUAUUUCUGAAUCUAAAUGAAUAUAGUUUUGCAUAAAGAAUCUUAGAAAGAUUGUAAUGUCGAAAUAAACAUUGGAAAUUAGAAUCAAGCAAGCCAUUCCUAUCAGCCACAUUAAAACACAGCAUAAUGUAGGCUUGCUUAUAACAGAUUUACAACACCAGAGAGAAUAAAGUAUUUUGUCUGGAAAGACAUUGGAAUCGGAUCCCUGUCAGAAGUCCACAGGGAAGGAAGCUCACAACAAGGGACUGCAUCAUAAAAAGCAUGUUUUGUGGCUGUCCCUUGUCCCCAGCUUGCCUUAAUUGGUGACUGAAAAGCAUAGAAAUUAUGAAGACCAAGAGUUUAAUGCUAUGGUCCCACUCCAUUCAUUCAUGAAGCUGUCUGGGUAUUUUUCAGAGUUCAUUUUCUCCUUCCUCUAUUACACUAUCAUAGGAAUAAUACUGUACUAGGAGAAACAUGCAUGCAUGCCAGUCUUUGGAAAAGAGAUACUCCUUUUGUGUGUGUGUGUGUGAGAGACACAUGCAUUAAAUAAGUAAAUAAUAAUCAGUGCAUCAGAUCUAAUAUUAAUAACUGUUACAACAUAGAAAGUGUUAUUAUACUAUAUGAAAACCAUCUGUGUAAGAUUCUAGGUAGAUUCGAACUACUUGGUCAAUUACAAUAUCUAAACAAAAUUUACUUUUCAAAGAGUAAUAAGUUCUCCAUUCUGAUGUUGAAUUUUCCACCAGCACUUCCUCUGUUACAAAGUAAAACCUGAGAUGUUCAGGAUGCUGAUCUUUGUGUCUGUUUCCAAAUUCUAUCCAUCAUUUUGGUGCGUCAUGAUGGUCUCCCAAUGUCUUUGCCCUUGCAUUUCCUUGUUAUGCAAGACUGGAUCAAAUCUCAAAAUAGUUAAUUUACAUAUAAGAUGACUUUAGUCUCCAGCUCUCUCCAAAGUGGUGGGACUGACAAGGAGGAAGUAUGAGGAGAAAUGAUUUCAUGAUUAAUCAGUGUUUGGUUAAACCCCAAGGAACCGGAUUACAUCUGAAAGGUUAGCAAUGAGAUCUCAACUGUAACAUGGAUUGAUAAAAUUCAAAGUCCACACAUCUGAUGUCCCUGAGAUAACUAAAGUAGUAGUAAUUAUAUAUGUGCUGCUAUGAUCCCAAGCAGAUCAAAAAAGAGAGGUGAUAUGGAUAAAAAAGUAGAGUUGUGUAAGCUUUAAUAUGAAGAUUCAAUAGCAACUUGAUCACAUCUAGAAAUUGAAUCAAACAUUGAAUUGAACCAGAAAGCUAAAUUUGAAUUAUUAGACUGAAUUAAAUACUUCCAAAUUGGUUCACUAGUUCAGAAGGGCUUUGUAUAUAUGCAGCUGCCCUUUUAAAAAUCACAUUGAACUAACCCAACCCAGGGUUUCAAAUCAGACUGGAACCAAUCCACACAGCCCUAAUAAAAGGGUCAGACAGGAAAAAAAGAAUAUGUUCCGUUUACAUGUCAUGUUGAGUCAAAACAUGGCUUGCUUAUGAUUUAUCACUUUAAAUCAUAAUGAAUUUGGUUCAUUGUAUCUUGCAAAUUAAAAUUUGUGACAGUGUGGCUCAAUACACUGUGGUUGCUUAAACUAGAAUUAAGCAAGCUAUAUUUCUCAUGAGGUAAAUUUUUGUCUCAAUGUUAUGAGGAAAAUGGGCUGAGACAGAGAGCUCUGUUUUUUCAUCAUACAGCCUCACCCUGAAACCUAGAGUGUCCCCUUGGUCUAAGCCUUUAAUAAUUUGUGAAAACCAGUUUUUUUCUGGAUGGCCGUCAAAGACAGAUUGUUCCCAUUUCCUGGUGAUCAAUAAAUUGUAAUUAAUGUUUGCUUGGGUUUUAUUUUAUUUCAAUCAACGUUGUAUGUUGUAUUAUUUUGAAUUGUUUGGGGAUUCAGGGAGAAUAUGAUUAGUGUGAUUGUGUUAUUAACUUUUAAUGAGGUUUUGAGAGAAAAUAAUGUUUUAAAACGAUAAAAUUUAAAUGGAAACAGAGAAGGGAAAUCACGGAAAGGAAGAAUGUGUUAAUUAUGUGUCUCGUUGAUUUGGGUGAUUCAUGAUCUAUGCAUACAGGCUCUGAGUUCUGCUGCCAAUGUGUUUUCUGGGUGUUUAUAUAUUAAAACAGCUGUUGAGUUGGCCUUGAAAGGGAAUUUAUUGCUUUAGACUCUCAUUUUAGUGUUUCAGUAAACCACCUUGUUUGGAGCAGGUAACCAGAUCUCCACCUAUCACAUAAACACUGGCAGCAAAGAAUAUAUGCCAAACCCAGAGAAAACCAAACAAAGAUCUCCACCCUUAGAGUACAGUAUAUUUUAUUCUGAACUUAUUUAGGCUUUUCACUCCCAUAACCUAGAGAUAUCGUUCCUCCUGGCUUGGAUUUUUUUCCCAGGCCUUAAGCACGUGGUUUUUCAGAAUCAGAUGUAGCCUCCUUUCUGCUCACUGAUAAAACAUGAGAUUUCUAAUGACAAGACUCUCUCCCUCAAAGCUUUAAUCUUAUCCCCUUAAACUCAAGUUAGAGUUGCCUGCAACCACAGAUAGGCAUCGCUGGAUAGCUAUGCUGCGAAGAGGUUGAUGGGUAAGCAUAGAUUGCAGAUUGCUGCAGAUGGGAGAUGCAUAGGUUGCAGAUGGAUGCAGAUCCCAACUGCCCUGCAUGCUGAUUGGUUAAUCCAAAGUCCUGUUCUGAGCUUUGCUCGUUGAGAACCCCCUAGCAAGAUCAUAAAAUUUGCAGAAAUAUAAAUGGAACAUCUGUGCGACCAUCCCCAAAUGACAGGUGCAUAUGUUCCCUGACAUGUAGUGCCAGAGAAGUCUGUUUGAUCCUUUCAUCAACCAAAGCAUCUUUCCUCCCUCUUCUACACUUGAUAGUUUGCCAUCUAAGUAGCAAUAGCUGACUUGGGAACUGGAUUACAGUGGGCCUGUCUGCCUACGUGCCUGCCUGCCUGGGUUGUACUUGUGUGCUUUGACUAUAAUGUCUGCAAAAAAACUUGGAGGACCACUAAACAGGGCAGCAAAUAGAUUUUUCUCAAGUAUUUGGUUUGCAAGAAGAAUAUACUCUUUAUUGAACUUAUUGCUUGUUGUUCUGCAAGAACACUGCUAGCUCAUAUUUCAUGAAUGAUGCAAAUGUGUUAACUGAAAU